Solanum lycopersicum (tomato) is the source of this 1217-nucleotide non-coding RNA. NCBI's taxonomy places the organism in Eukaryota, Viridiplantae, Streptophyta, Magnoliopsida, Solanales, Solanaceae. The record is from RefSeq and is a predicted model, not a curated record.
GAAUGAUAUAAAACCUCAAAAAUGCACACAAUCUUUUUGGGGGAAAAAGGCUCCCUCAUUGGAGAACUUGGUCCGAAUUUAAUGAAAAGUUGCAUAUCUGAAUAGUUUUGCUUGGAUGAAUUGUGCAAUAGCUUCGAGAGGUCUACAACCACACACUAAUACUAUAGACUACUUUUAUUCAAGUCACGCUUCCCUUUCUUUCUCCGAGCUGAAGAACUCACAAUCUCUUUUCUCCGAGCUGAAGAUCAAACUGAAGAUCGAGCUGUAGAACUACCGAGCUAACCGAGCUUUCUCUUCUCCGAACUGAAGAUUUCGUCAAGAUUUCUUGUUGCAGAACUUGAUUUCAGACAAAUUUAGGGUUUACCGGAAGUAUAAUCAACAUAUAGAAAUAUUUUUGGAGGAUUCAAGGUUUGAUUUGGCAUAGCACAAGAGCCAUGACUAGGUAAUUAAUAUGGACUAAUAUACCAGAAACUGUUAUUGAUGUGCCUUCAGAGGAAUUUGAUAAUCAGCAACUUGAGGUCGAGUAUGAAAAGGAGUUUGAAGAUGAGUUUAAAAAGGAGUUUGAAGAUGAGUCUGAAAGUGAGUAUGAAGAUGAUUCUGUAGAUGAGUCAGAAGAUGAAUUCGAAGAUGAGUUUGAUGAUGACACACCAUGAUCUUUAUUAUUUUUGUGAUGACCAUAUAGUGCUAACUUACUCUUUUGGUCAUCUGACUGUUUUUUGUACAAAUAUCUUAAGAUGUCUAUGACUAAGGCAUUGGACAUUACAGGCAGCACAGUAAAAGCAGUGAAGGCAGCACAAUGAAAUUAAUCCUCUGUAUGUUACUCUCUCCGAUCCUCGGUAUUUGAUGGAAUUUUCCGGUGUUAUGCUGUGGUGAUUGCGGUUAUUGUGGUUGUUGCGGAGACUGAAUGGGCAUUUUUCAUCAAGUUCUGGAAGGGAAAUGGAGGUGAACAAAUUUGAAUUGGAUGAUGAAGAGUUUUUUUGAACUAUUGUAGAAGUUUGAAUAUAUUAUAUUUGAUUUUGUGAAAUAUAUUCAUUGGUGGAAUAUAUUGAACUAUUGUAAGAGUAUUUUUUGAACUAUUGUGUACACAUUUAGAGUAUUGCUUUAUAAAUAUGUGUAUGUACACAACACAUAUCAUGUUUUGAAGUUUAUGGAAAAUCUAUAAAUUUGUAAGAGUACUUAAUGCUUGAGAUUAUUUAUUGAAAAACAAUAUUGGUGUA